Molecule: long non-coding RNA, 221 nt
Filed under: Lathyrus oleraceus (garden pea)
Lineage: Eukaryota; Viridiplantae; Streptophyta; Magnoliopsida; Fabales; Fabaceae
Description: Pisum sativum (pea) long non-coding RNA (PSAT_LNC022926)
Source: RNAcentral
ACUCUGAAGAGUUGGAUGAUGUCUUGGAAGAAAAUUGAGUUUCUGAUGUUGAACCACCUGCCUAAACCUCAUUCUAGACAUAUGUACCCCCAAUAUAAAGGUUUCAAGAACUCUGCAAAAAUAUGUCACCACUGAGGUAAAUAUGGUCACAUAAGACCCUUUUGCUAUAGUCUGGUUAGUUAUUCUAAGUUUUAUAGUCAGCUCGGCCCUAAAAGGAAAAA